Molecule: ribosomal RNA, 858 nt
Filed under: Triticum aestivum (bread wheat)
Lineage: Eukaryota; Viridiplantae; Streptophyta; Magnoliopsida; Poales; Poaceae
Description: partial small subunit ribosomal RNA
Source: RNAcentral
AUGUCUACGUUUGUGGCGGAAAGCAACGGAUCUGUGUGCUCGGCAGUAUCGUGGGGCAUUUCUAAUUACCCUGAUUCGGCUGUUUUUGGCAUCGAUUCGAAGAAGCUGAGUGUCCUCCGAGAGGUUACCGAGGACGACCCUAGCGGCAGAUUUGCGGAUUUGUUGGAUUCUGUCGACGUUAGGACAGAAACAGACAUCGCGGAUCUAGAUGAGAAUAGGGCUUCGAGGAUGGAGAAUAGAUAUGUGGCCCUUGAUGACAAAGUUGGGUGGGUUACAAGGAAGGUAGCAAUGCCAGACGAGAGAGCAACAAGUGCUGAGAGGGUGACAGCCCUAGAAAUAGCGCUCACGGGAUUUGCUGAAAGGAAAACAGACACCGUAGUGACACCAUCAGUUGGACUGACGUUCGACUCUAUAAUAGAGGCCUACGAUUUUUACAAUCUUUAUUCCUGGGAGACAGGUUUUGGCAUUAGAUAUGCAAAGAGCAGAACCAAUGUAAAAGGCACGAGAUGCAUGCAGGAGUUCGUGUGCUGCUGCUCGGGCAAGCCAAAAGAGCCGAAUUCAACAUCAUCACGGUGUCAAUGCCAAGCCAUGAUAAGACUUUUGCGGACAGACGACGAUGGAUGGUACAUCAACGAAUUCCGGUCAAGCCACAAUCACCAGAUGUUAAACACAUGUGCUGAAAAGCUCCAUUUCCCUUCACAUAGGCAUAUCGACAAAUAUACCAGAGAGCUAGUAUCUCAGCUUAGAGAGAACAAUGUGAACCUGAGCAAAGUUUACAGUAUUCUUGCAACUUUUUUGGGAGGGUUGAAAAUGUGUCGUUCACCAAAAGGUGCCUCAGGACAUUAUGUGGGAAGCUGA